RNAcentral lists this ribosomal RNA (207 nucleotides) under uncultured bacterium. RNAcentral's name for it is "partial 16S ribosomal RNA". It matches the Rfam family "Bacterial small subunit ribosomal RNA", at positions 568 to 774 of the family's 1533-position model. The record is from RNAcentral.
UGCGUAGGUGGCGGUGUAAGUUUGAUGUGAAAUCUCCGGGCUUAACCCGGAAACGGCAUUGAAUACUACAUGGCUUGAGGUUUGGAGGGGGGACUGGAAUUCUCGGUGUAGCAGUGAAAUGCGUAGAUAUCGAGAGGAACACCAGUGGCGAAGGCGAGUCCCUGGACAACACCUGACACUGAGGCACGAAAGCCGGGGGAGCAAACA